RNAcentral lists this ribosomal RNA (1580 nucleotides) under Triticum aestivum (bread wheat). RNAcentral's name for it is "partial small subunit ribosomal RNA". The record is from RNAcentral. Lineage: Eukaryota; Viridiplantae; Streptophyta; Magnoliopsida; Poales; Poaceae.
UAAAUCAGGGUCGCAAAGCCACAGGGAUAGAGAGGGAUUAAAUGAGAGGGUGAUUAACUAAACGGCACCGAGAGAAAUAGAAGGUGCCAUCCAGUAGUAGAGGGGUUAUUUGAGAGGACGGUUAACUAAAAAGUACCUAGAGAAAUAGAAGAUGCCGUCUAAUAGAGGUAGGAAGGUGGUUUGUUUGUGUUGGACCUCUACGCCUGGAACUCCGGGACGCGGUACCUCUCCUACCAGUUGUACCAAUGAACUGCUUCACCGGGAGGUGUUCGGGUUUGGACUUCUUGGACGUGUCCUACCGUCGUGGUAGAAGUAGACGUCUUGCACGUCAGCAGCGGCUAGGUGGCGAGUCCGGUCUUAGACCGACAGAACCCCGGGUCAACAUGAGGUAGGCGGGGUACCUCAACCCGUCAUUAAGUAGUAGGUGGCUGUGCAUAGAACCACAGCAGGCCCUUCUGGAAAGGAAGCUACCGCGGCAACUGGAGCGGAUGCUCGGCAAUAUCAUAACCGCUUUAAACCUCAAGGAUGUUCAAUAAUUCAUAACCCGCUUUAAACCUCAAGGAAUACACGGAGGGUGCGAGUGCGGUAGGCUAAGUACAGUCCCUCCAAGAAUGGUUUACAGAGGUGUGUUCGAAACACCUAACCUUGAUCCUCACGUUUAAUCAAAAGAGAUAAUUCCUAAACUAUCACUUCCACCAGGAUAUUGGAUAAAGGUGAACUGAAAUUUUUUAAAACUUCCGCGGGAACGACUAAAAUAAUUACGAAGGACGAGUUCAUCGUUCACUAACUAUACAACGAGAGUGAAUCUAGUAGCAUAGAACGUCCGUGGAAGAAGAAAGAAGAAAAUUAACGUUAUAUUUAACCUAGAGAGUCAACACUUUACGGUAGAAGAGAUGAAUAGGAGAUGUCCGUGUUAACAUGACAAAACACAGGUUAGAGUCAUACGGUAAACUUAAAACAUAUCGAACGUAUCAGGGUCUAAGUAAUCGAGUAAGGUUAUAAAAAAUUAUCGAAUGUAUAAUAGUAAAUGUACUGAUUCAUACUCCCGUGAUAGUAGGGAAGGAAGGUUCAUAACCGGCGAUGAUAAACGUAAUCGAAACGGGGUCUUGUAUAGGGAAUAACGUGAAACUGUCUCGUUCAUGUCUCUAGAGUAAUUACCAGUCAAUAUGUAAUAACAUCUACAAGAAACUAAAUGUUUCUGUUCCUGGAGGAUGAUAACUACGAAGGAUUCGUAGCAAAGAUGGUAAACAAUAGAGUAUAAUACAACUACUCAUCUAUGUUAAUAGACAACAUUGUGGAUACAGAUGUGAACGACCGUAAACGAAUACAUUGUGGAUGGACCGAUAUAUAACAUCCUGAAUACAUGAUUUUACGUCUUCUAACUAAAUGUUGUUCUCAGUGUUUGUUAUGUGUUAUUCAUAGAGUUUUUGAUGUUAAACAUCUAUUGGAAAGUACAACAGAGGUAAAAUCUUAGAGCCAAGAACUACACAUAUAUAUCGUAACCAAAUAUACAUUUAGUCUACUCUAUUAAUACGGUACGGUGAUAUAAAUUAUUUUUGUAGUGUAUUAUGUGUAAGACG